This 446-nucleotide ribosomal RNA is filed under the name uncultured bacterium. RNAcentral's name for it is "bacterial SSU rRNA". It matches the Rfam family "Bacterial small subunit ribosomal RNA", at positions 227 to 695 of the family's 1533-position model. The record is from RNAcentral.
GGGCUCGCGUACCAUUAGCUUGUUGGUAGGGUAACGGCUUACCAAGGCUACGAUGGUUAGCUGGUUUGAGAGGAUGAUCAGCCACACUGGAACUGAAACACGGUCCAGACUCCUACGGGAGGCAGCAGUGAGGAAUUUUGCGCAAUGGGGGAAACCCUGACGCAGAAACGCCGCGUGAGUGAAGAAGGCCUUCGGGUCGUAAAGCUCUGUCAAGUGGGAAAUGAUGGUACCACUGGAGGAAGCACCGGCUAACUCCGUGCCAGCAGCCGCGGUAAUACGGAGGGUGCAAGCGUUGUUCGGAAUUAUUGGGCGUAAAGAGCGUGUAGGCGGUUUGGUAAGUCAGAUGUGAAAGCCCUGGGCUCAACCCAGGAAGUGCAUUUGAUACUGCCUCACUAGAGUAUGGGAGAGGAGAGUGGAAUUCCCAGUGUAGAGGUGAAAUUGUAGAU